CCGCUCCCGCGUCAUCGGCGAACACACGAGGCCGCGCGCAUGCGUGACCAUGAAAUUCACCGAUUCGGGCGUGAUCUUCUCGGCCGCCAUGAUCA
This 95-nucleotide non-coding RNA is filed under the name bovine gut metagenome. The record is from RNAcentral.